Molecule: transfer RNA, 118 nt
Filed under: Candidatus Odinarchaeum yellowstonii
Lineage: Archaea; Promethearchaeati; Candidatus Odinarchaeota; Candidatus Odinarchaeia; Candidatus Odinarchaeales; Candidatus Odinarchaeaceae
Description: tRNA-Leu
Rfam family: tRNA
About the family: Transfer RNA (tRNA) molecules are approximately 80 nucleotides in length. Their secondary structure includes four short double-helical elements and three loops (D, anti-codon, and T loops). Further hydrogen bonds mediate the characteristic L-shaped molecular structure. tRNAs have two regions of fundamental functional importance: the anti-codon, which is responsible for specific mRNA codon recognition, and the 3' end, to which the tRNAs corresponding amino acid is attached (by aminoacyl-tRNA synthetases). tRNAs cope with the degeneracy of the genetic code in two manners: having more than one tRNA (with a specific anti-codon) for a particular amino acid; and 'wobble' base-pairing, i.e. permitting non-standard base-pairing at the 3rd anti-codon position.
Source: RNAcentral
GCGGGGGUUCCCAAGCCAGGUCUAAGGGGCAGGACUGAGGCUCCUGUGGGCUUUAUUUCGAAAUGAAAUAAAGGCGGAACGUAGGCCUUCAUGGGUUCAAAUCCCAUCCCCCGCACCA